CUUUUACUGAUUUGUGCUUUCACAUUUCUUUGCUUAAAAACUUCUGUGUAAAUUAUGUAAACCUCGCUUAUGGUAAGCUAUUUUAAAGAGCACUUUAUCGUGCUCUUGAUGCAGUGGUGAGUUGGCAUAAUGGUGAGUUGGCAUUUUAAUAUUAUGAGUUCAUGUUGCAAGGGUUGCUGGUUCAAUACUGAACUGUGGUCACUUUUGUAGAGUUUGACGAAUCCUCCUGGGCCUGUGUGGGUUUCCUCCAGCUUCUCCAGUUUUCUCUCACCUCUUGAAAACAUACCUCAUGCAGACCUCAUUUAAUGGCAGACCUAACAGUCUGACAUGUGAGACUACCAUGACUCUGACCAUCACAAAUAUGUUGAUGAUUGAAUGAAUUGUUUCAGCAUGAUUCUGAUGAUCAAACUGAUUUAUAAGGAAUAGUAAACAUGUAUGGUUUGACCAAUGAACCUAACCCAUAACUUGGUUUUGGAUGAAACCAUUGGAACAGAAACAUGUGCAAUUAAAUAGUUGAUCACAUUUCCAUGAUAUCAGUGUGAAGAUAUGCAUUUAAUAAAACAGGCAGUUAACACUACUGUUCCCCAUGUAUUUGGGAGCCAUGAAAGAAGUAGAGCUUCCCCAUGUCGUGAAUAUUACUUUUACCCCUCAGACUUACAGACGUGUUUUUUAAGUAUGCAUACUUAUUUUUUUAAGUAUGCAUCCUAAAAAUUCUAGUAUGCAUACUUAUUUUAUAAGUAUGCAUACUUAUUUUUUUAAGUAUGCAUACUUAAAAUUCUAGUAGUACCCCUCAGACUUACAGACGUAGAUCAAACGUUUUGAAAUGAAAACAUACUGGAAUUUGCGAGUAUAUUUAUUUUGUCAACUUAUGUUUAAGUAUGUAUGUAUGUAAAUUUUGGCAUGCAUACUUAUUUUUUAGGUAUGCAUACUUAAAAUUCUAGUACGCAUAACUAUUUUUUAGGUAUGCAUUCUUACAAUUCUAGUAUAUAUACUUAAAAUUCUAGUAUGCAUAAUUAUUUUUU
This is a long non-coding RNA of Ictalurus punctatus (channel catfish), 1022 nucleotides long. NCBI's taxonomy places the organism in Eukaryota, Metazoa, Chordata, Actinopteri, Siluriformes, Ictaluridae. The record is from Ensembl.